This 74-nucleotide transfer RNA is filed under the name Acholeplasmataceae bacterium. Its description in RNAcentral is "tRNA-Thr". It matches the Rfam family "tRNA". Rfam says of the family: Transfer RNA (tRNA) molecules are approximately 80 nucleotides in length. Their secondary structure includes four short double-helical elements and three loops (D, anti-codon, and T loops). The record is from RNAcentral. Lineage: Bacteria; Bacillati; Mycoplasmatota; Mollicutes; Acholeplasmatales; Acholeplasmataceae.
GCCUCCUUAGUAUAAUGGUAUUACGUAAGCAUGGUAAGCUUGUAACGCAAGUUCGAUUCUUGCAGGAGGCACCA